This 447-nucleotide ribosomal RNA is filed under the name uncultured bacterium. Its description in RNAcentral is "bacterial SSU rRNA". It matches the Rfam family "Bacterial small subunit ribosomal RNA", at positions 355 to 825 of the family's 1533-position model. The record is from RNAcentral.
UGGGGAAUAUUGGACAAUGGGCGAAAGCCUGAUCCAGCCAUGCCGCGUGAGUGACGAAGGCCUUAGGGUUGUAAAACUCUUUCGUCGGGGACGAUAAUGACGGUACCCGAAGAAGAAGCUCCGGCUAACUUCGUGCCAGCAGCCGCGGUAAUACGAAGGGAGCUAGCGUUGUUCGGAAUCACUGGGCGUAAAGCGCACGUAGGCGGAUAGUUAAGUCAGGGGUGAAAUCCUGGGGCUCAACCCCAGAACUGCCUUUGAUACUGGCUGUCUCGAGGUCGAGAGAGGUUGGUGGAAUUCCUAGUGUAGAGGUGAAAUUCGUAGAUAUUAGGAAGAACACCAGUGGCGAAGGCGGCCAACUGGCUCGAUACUGACGCUGAGGUGCGAAAGCGUGGGGGGCAAACAGGAUUAGAUACCCCGGUAGUCCCUGAGCGGGCUGGCAAGGCGCAU